RNAcentral lists this microRNA precursor (59 nucleotides) under Callorhinchus milii (elephant shark). Its description in RNAcentral is "Cmi-Mir-148-P1_pre stem-loop". It matches the Rfam family "mir-148/mir-152 microRNA precursor family", at positions 8 to 68 of the family's 74-position model. Rfam says of the family: The hairpin precursors (represented here) are predicted based on base pairing and cross-species conservation -- their extents are not known. In this case the mature sequence is excised from the 3' arm of the hairpin. Lineage: Eukaryota; Metazoa; Chordata; Chondrichthyes; Chimaeriformes; Callorhinchidae. The record is from RNAcentral.
AAAGUUCUGUAACACUUGGACUCUGAGUAAAUGGAAGUCAGUGCACUACAGAACUUUGU